Molecule: ribosomal RNA, 253 nt
Filed under: uncultured bacterium
Lineage: Bacteria
Description: partial 16S ribosomal RNA
Rfam family: Bacterial small subunit ribosomal RNA
Source: RNAcentral
UACAGAGGGGGCAAGCGUUGUUCGGAAUUACUGGGCGUAAAGGGCUCGUAGGCGGCCAACUAAGUCAGACGUGAAAUCCCUCGGCUUAACCGGGGAACUGCGUCUGAUACUGGAUGGCUAGAGGUUGGGAGAGGGAUGCGGAAUUCCAGGUGUAGCGGUGAAAUGCGUAGAUAUCUGGAGGAACACCGGUGGCGAAGGCGGCAUCCUGGACCAAUCCUGACGCUGAGGAGCGAAAGCCAGGGGAGCAAACGGG